RNAcentral lists this transfer RNA (71 nucleotides) under Loxodonta africana (African savanna elephant). It matches the Rfam family "tRNA". From Rfam's summary of the family: Transfer RNA (tRNA) molecules are approximately 80 nucleotides in length. Their secondary structure includes four short double-helical elements and three loops (D, anti-codon, and T loops). Further hydrogen bonds mediate the characteristic L-shaped molecular structure. tRNAs have two regions of fundamental functional importance: the anti-codon, which is responsible for specific mRNA codon recognition, and the 3' end, to which the tRNAs corresponding amino acid is attached (by aminoacyl-tRNA synthetases). tRNAs cope with the degeneracy of the genetic code in two manners: having more than one tRNA (with a specific anti-codon) for a particular amino acid; and 'wobble' base-pairing, i.e. permitting non-standard base-pairing at the 3rd anti-codon position. The record is from Rfam by way of RNAcentral. Lineage: Eukaryota; Metazoa; Chordata; Mammalia; Proboscidea; Elephantidae.
GCAGUGGUGGUUCGGGGGUAGAAUUCUCAGCUUCCAUGUGGAAGACCCAGGUUCGAUUCCCAGCCAAUGCA